GCGGCGGACGGGUGAGUAACACGUGGGCAACCUGCCUGUAAGACUGGGAUAACUCCGGGAAACCGGAGCUAAUACCGGAUAGUAUCUUGAACCGCAUGGUUCAAGUUGGAAAGACGGUUUCGGCUGUCACUUACAGAUGGGCCCGCGGCGCAUUAGCUAGUUGGUGAGGUAAUGGCUCACCAAGGCAACGAUGCGUAGCCGACCUGAGAGGGUGAUCGGCCACACUGGGACUGAGACACGGCCCAGACUCCUACGGGAGGCAGCAGUAGGGAAUCUUCCGCAAUGGACGAAAGUCUGACGGAGCAACGCCGCGUGAGUGAUGAAGGUUUUCGGAUCGUAAAACUCUGUUGUUAGGGAAGAACAAGUGCGAGAGUAACUGCUCGCACCUUGACGGUACCUAACCAGAAAGCCACGGCUAACUACGUGCCAGCAGCCGCGGUAAUACGUAGGUGGCAAGCGUUGUCCGGAAUUAUUGGGCGUAAAGCGCGCGCAGGCGGUUUCUUAAGUCUGAUGUGAAAGCCCCCGGCUCAACCGGGGAGGGUCAUUGGAAACUGGGAAACUUGAGUGCAGAAGAGGAGAGUGGAAUUCCACGUGUAGCGG
This 600-nucleotide ribosomal RNA is filed under the name Bacillus sp. 57(2013). RNAcentral's name for it is "bacterial SSU rRNA". It matches the Rfam family "Bacterial small subunit ribosomal RNA", at positions 95 to 681 of the family's 1533-position model. The record is from RNAcentral. Lineage: Bacteria; Bacillati; Bacillota; Bacilli; Caryophanales; Bacillaceae.